RNAcentral lists this ribosomal RNA (674 nucleotides) under Rubrivivax benzoatilyticus JA2 = ATCC BAA-35. RNAcentral's name for it is "bacterial SSU rRNA". It matches the Rfam family "Bacterial small subunit ribosomal RNA", at positions 97 to 767 of the family's 1533-position model. The record is from RNAcentral. Lineage: Bacteria; Pseudomonadati; Pseudomonadota; Betaproteobacteria; Burkholderiales; Sphaerotilaceae.
GGCGAACGGGUGAGUAAUGCAUCGGAACGUGCCCAGUAGUGGGGGAUAGCCCGGCGAAAGCCGGAUUAAUACCGCAUACGACCUACGGGUGAAAGCGGGGGACCGAAAGGCCUCGCGCUAUUGGAGCGGCCGAUGUCAAAUUAGGUAGUUGGUGGGGUAAAGGCCUACCAAGCCUACGAUCUGUAGCUGGUCUGAAAGGACGACCAGCCACACUGGGACUGAAACACGGCCCAAACUCCUACGGGAGGCAGCAGUGGGGAAUUUUGGACAAUGGGCGCAAGCCUGAUCCAGCCAUGCCGCGUGCGGGAAAAAGGCCUUCGGGUUGUAAACCGCUUUUGUCAGGGAAAAAAUCUUCUGGGUUAAUACCUCGGGAGGAUGACGGUACCUGAAGAAUAAGCACCGGCUAACUACGUGCCAGCAGCCGCGGUAAUACGUAGGGUGCAAGCGUUAAUCGGAAUUACUGGGCGUAAAGCGUGCGCAGGCGGUUAUGUAAAACAGAUGUGAAAUCCCCGGGCUUAACCUGGGAACUGCAUUUGUGACUGCAUAGCUUGAGUGCGGCAGAGGGGGAUGGAAUUCCGCGUGUAGCAGUGAAAUGCGUAUAUAUGCGGAGGAACACCGAUGGCGAAGGCAAUCCCCUGGGCCUGCACUGACGCUCAUGCACGAAAGCGUGGGGA